UGGGACAGCUGUGGAGACAGCCCGCUUUCCCGGCAUGCCCCGGGGCGGCGGGGUUGGCUCUAACGAAUUUGAAUGAGGAGCCUCAGCGCUUUCGGCGCCAUUUUCGAGUGAUGCCUGAUCUCAUCAAUCUAGCGGGAGGGAAGGGAUAACCUGUCCGAGAGUAGCGCGACGCUAGGAUCGCGCCGGAAAAUCCCCCAAAAAUCAUCAAAAAAAUAACUUAGACCAAAGGACAGUCGGUGGGGCUUCGCCAGAUCCGGCGCCAUCGUCCUUGAAACGCAGCGUCUCAAGGAAAAGUAGCGUGGAACUUGAUGUUUCCUGCCGACAAGCCUUUGCACCUACGAUUUAACGAUUUUAACCUUUAGAAGAGAGCCAGUUGUGGAAAACAACCAGUUUUUUGAUCGAAUACCCACGUAAUACAUUGGAAUAUGAUAGGAGAUUAAGGUUUAACAAUGAUAAAAUGAAGAUAUUACUAAAACAGCCCUCUAAGUAGCCCAACAAUUAUUAUUUUUGCUAGAGAUGAGAACCAGAACCAUACAAGGUCCAAGACGAGCACUUUCUCUGUGCAUAUGGAUGUCCUAGAAGUUGUGGCAUAAUGGUAUUAAUAUGCUAGACGUACUGAAUUGAA
Rattus rattus (black rat) is the source of this 625-nucleotide long non-coding RNA. RefSeq lists it as uncharacterized. The record is from RefSeq and is a predicted model, not a curated record. The transcript is spliced from 5 exons. Lineage: Eukaryota; Metazoa; Chordata; Mammalia; Rodentia; Muridae.